UACAGAGGGGGCAAGCGUUAUUCGGAAUUAUUGGGCGUAAAGGGCGCGUAGGCGGCGAUUCAAGUGACGGGUGAAAUCCCUCGGCUUAACCGAGGGACUGCCUGUCAGACUGGAUUGCUUGAGGCCGGGAGAGGCGAGUGGAAUUCCCAGUGUAGCGGUGAAAUGCGUAGAUAUUGGGAGGAACACCAGUGGCGAAGGCGGCUCGCUGGACCGGUUCUGACGCUGAGGCGCGAAAGCGUGGGGAGCAAACAGG
This 253-nucleotide ribosomal RNA is filed under the name uncultured bacterium. Its description in RNAcentral is "partial 16S ribosomal RNA". It matches the Rfam family "Bacterial small subunit ribosomal RNA", at positions 524 to 776 of the family's 1533-position model. The record is from RNAcentral.